UAGGAUCGGCUAACUCCGUGCCAGCAGCCGCGGUAAUACGGAGGAUCCGAGCGUUAUCCGGAUUUAUUGGGUUUAAAGGGUGCGUAGGUGGACCGGUCAGUCAGUGGUGAAAGUUUGCAGCUUAACUGUAAAAUUGCCGUUGAAACUGCCUGUCUUGAGUGCAAAUGAGGUAAGCGGAAUGUGUUGUGUAGCGGUGAAAUGCUUAGAUAUGACACAGAACACCGAUUGCGAAGGCAGCUUACUGGGAUGCAACUGACACUGAGGCACGAAGGCGUGGGGAUCAAACAGGAUUAGAUACCCUGGUAGUCCACGCAGUAAACGAUGAAUACUAGUUGUCUGCGAUAUAUUGUAGGUGACACAGCGAAAGCGUUAAGUAUUCCACCUGGGGAGUACGUUCGCAAGAAUGAAACUCAAAGGAAUUGACGGGGGCCCGCACAAGCGGAGGAACAUGUGGUUUAAUUCGAUGAUACGCGAGGAACCUUACCCGGGCUUGAAAUGCAGAAGACCGAAGUGGAAACACUUCUUCCAGCAAUGGCUUCUGUGUAGGUGCUGCAUGGUUGUCGUCAGCUCGUGCCGUGAGGUGUCGGCUUAAGUGCCAUAACGAGCGCAACCCUUGCCGGUAGUUACUAUCAGGUCAUGCUGAGGACUCUACCGGGACUGCCAUCGUAAGAUGCGAGGAAGGUGGGGAUGACGUCAAAUCAGCACGGCCCUUACGUCCGGGGCGACACACGUGUUACAAUGGGUGGUACAGCGGGUUGCUACCGGGUGACCGGAUGCCAAUCUCUUAAAUCCACUCUCAGUUCGGAUCGAAGUCUGCAACUCGACUUCGUGAAGCUGGAUUCGCUAGUAAUCGCGCAUCAGCCACGGCGCGGUGAAUACGUUCCCGGGCCUUGUACACACCGCCCGUCAAGCCAUGGAAGCCGGGGGGACCUGAAGUACGUGACCGAUUAAAAGGAGCGUCCUAGGGUAAAACCGGUGACUGGGGCUAAGUCGUAACAAGGUAACA
Molecule: ribosomal RNA, 1006 nt
Filed under: uncultured bacterium
Lineage: Bacteria
Description: bacterial SSU rRNA
Rfam family: Bacterial small subunit ribosomal RNA
Source: RNAcentral